AGAGUUGAUCAUGGCUCAGGAUGAACGCUGGCGGCGUGCUUCAUACAUGCAAGUCGAACGAGAAUUUGGAGCUUGCUCCAAAGGAAAGUGGCGGACGGGUGAGUAAUACAUAGGGAAUCUGCCCUUAGCUGGGGGACAACAGUUGGAAACGACUGCUAAUACCGCAUAUGAGCUAACCUGAAAUGGUUAUCUUGAAAACUCCGGUGGCUAAGGAUGAGCCUGUGCCUGAUUAGCUUGUUGGCGGGGUAAUGGCCCACCAAGGCGACGAUCAGUAGCUGGUUUGAGAGGAUGAUCAGCCACAAUGGGACUGGGACACGGCCCAUACUCCUACGGGAGGCAGCAGUAGGGAAUUUUGCGCAAUGGGCGAAAGCCUGACGCAAGCAACGCCGCGUGUGUGAUGAAGCCCCUAGGGGUGUAAAACACUGUCAGUAGGGACGAAUUUUGACGGUACCUACAGAGGAAGCACCGGCUAACUCCGUGCCAGCAGCUGC
This 491-nucleotide ribosomal RNA is filed under the name uncultured bacterium. RNAcentral describes it as "bacterial SSU rRNA". It matches the Rfam family "Bacterial small subunit ribosomal RNA", at positions 8 to 518 of the family's 1533-position model. The record is from RNAcentral.